Molecule: long non-coding RNA, 548 nt
Organism: Trifolium pratense (red clover)
Lineage: Eukaryota; Viridiplantae; Streptophyta; Magnoliopsida; Fabales; Fabaceae
Exons: 4
Source: RefSeq, a predicted model, not a curated record
CUUUCCUAAUAUGAUAAAAAAAUACCUGCUGGGUUACCUAUGGUUGUUAUCCAGUUUGCUAAAGUCACUAAAUCACAAGGUAGAAAUAUUGUGCAAAGUGUUGAAGGAAUCAGCAAACUCUUUGUGAACCCGGAUUUUCCCAAGGCAUUGUGCAGUUUAAAUCUGGUCUGGUUCUCGCUCUUGAUCGUGUCUGAACCCUGCUUGGCAUAUGCCUAACCGACAAGUCAUUAGAAUUCAAUUUGAAAAACAACUAUGAAGUCAAGACUAUCACACAGCUUAGGGAGGAUAGUACCAAAGUUGGUUCCUAUGUCGUUAAUGCUAGGAUGGUUGAUAUGGUGGAGCUUAGCCCAUGGUGGUAUGCUGUUUGUGGUUGCGAUGUUAUUGUUGAGAAAUAUCUUGGUGCAUUCUUUUGUGACAAGUGCAAUGCUACUGACUUUAUUCCGGUUCCAAAGUAUCGCGUCAAGAUGGUGAUUGAGGAUGAAACUGGUGCAGCUUUCCCCGAGGCAUAUGACCAUGUGAUGCUUCCUAUUGUUGUUGUUGAUAAGAAA